AUGAAGGCCUCUGGGUUGUAAACUUCUUUUAUAGGGGACGAAAAAAGGGCAUUCUUGCUCACUUGACGGUACCCUAGGAAUAAGCACCGGCUAACUCCGUGC
RNAcentral lists this ribosomal RNA (102 nucleotides) under uncultured bacterium. RNAcentral describes it as "partial 16S ribosomal RNA". It matches the Rfam family "Bacterial small subunit ribosomal RNA", at positions 408 to 508 of the family's 1533-position model. The record is from RNAcentral.